AACGACUCUCGGCAACGGAUAUCUCGGCUCUCGCAUCGAUGAAGAACGUAGCGAAAUGCGAUACUUGGUGUGAAUUGCAGAAUCCCGUGAACCAUCGAGUCUUUGAACGCAAGUUGCGCCCGAAGCCAUUCGGUCGAGGGCACGUUUGCCUGGGUGUCACACA
Molecule: ribosomal RNA, 163 nt
Filed under: Rhodomyrtus tomentosa
Lineage: Eukaryota; Viridiplantae; Streptophyta; Magnoliopsida; Myrtales; Myrtaceae
Description: 5.8S ribosomal RNA
Rfam family: 5.8S ribosomal RNA
About the family: 5.8S ribosomal RNA (5.8S rRNA) is a component of the large subunit of the eukaryotic ribosome. It is transcribed by RNA polymerase I as part of the 45S precursor that also contains 18S and 28S rRNA.
Source: RNAcentral